CUGUUGCCUUGGCAACAGGUCUGCAGGUUCCACCUAUGUGAUGUUACUGGUUUCCGAGGUCCUGAUACCAACACUAGGAAUGCUAUAUGCAAGCAAGAAUACUGCCUAGCCCAAUCUCCAUGUUCUGUAGGGAUGGAAACAUCUUUUUCACAAGCAAAACGGGCCCAGGAGAUCUAAGAGUAACAAGAAAAAGAUGCCAUUAGCCUACCUGAUCCUUUGGAGCAGAACCCAGGCACCUGGCUGCUAACAAUCAUAAAACUGUAAUGACCUUGGCAUUGCUGCGUUGCCGGUGGUGGAACUCUGAGAUUGUGGUCACCAUCUCUUUUAGUAGUGGACUUUGCAAUCUAAUAGAACUGAUAAUAAAGAUGUAAUUUUAAAAAAAAUCGUCCA
Molecule: long non-coding RNA, 390 nt
Filed under: Mus spicilegus (steppe mouse)
Lineage: Eukaryota; Metazoa; Chordata; Mammalia; Rodentia; Muridae
Description: lncRNA (ENSMSIG00000011496.1)
Source: RNAcentral